Molecule: ribosomal RNA, 325 nt
Filed under: uncultured eukaryote
Lineage: Eukaryota
Description: partial 18S ribosomal RNA
Rfam family: Eukaryotic small subunit ribosomal RNA
Source: RNAcentral
CCCUUAGAUGUUCUGGGCCGCACGCGCGCUACACUGAUGCAUUCAACGAGCCUAUCCUUGACCGACAGGUCCGGGUAAUCUUUGAAUCUGCAUCGUGACGGGGAUAGAUUAUUGCAAUUAUUAAUCUUCAACGAGGAAUGCCUAGUAGGCGCAAGUCAUCAGCUUGCGUCGAUUACGUCCCUGCCCAUUGUACACACCGCCCGUCGCUCCUACCGAUUGGGUGUGCUGGUGAAAUGUUCGGAUCGGCCGUUUGUCGCGGUUUCCGCGGCUCGUGGCUGAGAAGUUCAUUAAACCCUCCCACCUAGAGGAAGGAGAAGUCGUAACA